AGCAGCCACCUUUUAAAACGCGUCAAAGCGUAACCUAAACCCCCCAAAAUACCAUUAAUUUUCAUGAACCCCUAAUUUAUAAUGAAUGACUCCAUAUUUAUAUGGAAGACACCAUGCUAGGAUUAGUAACAAGAAUUUAUAAUUCUCCAAAAUGCAAAUAUAAACCAACAUGGAUAGACCAUUGGUAGUUACCGAACCUAAAUUUACUGCAAUAACACCCACAAGAAAACUCUGCAGUACUUACUCGUUAACCUAACACCAGCGCAUUACAGGAAAGAUUAAAAAAAAGAGAAGGAAUUCGGCAAAUGACGGCCCCGCCUGUUUACCAAAAACAUCGCCUCUUGACUUAUAAUAAGAGGUCCAGCCUGCCCAGUGAAUUUUAAACGGCCGCGGUAUCCUAACCGCGCGAAGGUAGCAUAAUCACUUGUUCUUUAAAUGGGGACUCGUAUCAACGGCAUCACGAGGGUUUUACUGUCUCCUCUUUUUGAUCAGUGAAAUUGAUCUUCCCGUGAAGAAGCGGGGAUAUUUUUAUAAGACGAGAAGACCCCAUGGAGCUUUAAACCAAAUAACAACUUAACUACUUAUCCCACAAUAAAUUUAAGCCCUGUUAUAAGGUUUUUGGUUGGGGUGACCGCGGAGUAAAGCACAUCCUCCACGACGGAAAGAACAUAAUCUUUAUUUAAGAACCACACUUCUAGAAAUUAGUAUACUAACGUUUACUGACCCGACAAUCGAUCAACGGACCAAGUUACCCUGGGGAUAACAGCGCAAUCUACUUCAAGAGCUCAUAUCGACAAGUAGGCUUACGACCUCGAUGUUGGAUCAGGGUAUCCCGGUGGUGCAGCCGCUACCGAAGGUUCGUUUGUUCAACGAUUAAAACCCUACGUGAUC
Molecule: ribosomal RNA, 891 nt
Filed under: Polypedates leucomystax (Java whipping frog)
Lineage: Eukaryota; Metazoa; Chordata; Amphibia; Anura; Rhacophoridae
Description: partial 16S ribosomal RNA
Rfam family: Bacterial large subunit ribosomal RNA
Source: RNAcentral